This is a non-coding RNA of Pogona vitticeps (central bearded dragon), 790 nucleotides long. The record is from RefSeq and is a predicted model, not a curated record. Lineage: Eukaryota; Metazoa; Chordata; Lepidosauria; Squamata; Agamidae.
AACUCCUGAGUAACCCAAGGUUAAGAACCAGUGGUUUAGCUGAUUUGCUCUGGUGUCUGAAGGGUGAGUGUGUGUGUGUGUGGGGGGGAAUGUAUUUUAACAUACUUUUUGAACCUUUCUAUUCCCUUCUCUUUUUUCCAGGUCAAGCCAUUCCUCAGCCUGCAGGACUCAUGAGUUAGACUUCAUGGCUGUCUCUGGAUCCCAAGCAGAGGAAAAGAAGCCUUUCUCUCUCUUUUCAGUCCCACCCACCCCCUCCUGCCUGCCACGGGGGACUCUCUUUCCUUACAGAGAAGACGCAGACUUUGAAAGAGGGCAGGAAAGGAAUGGAAGAAGAGAAGCAGAGACAUACUGACCCUUCCCCCUCCCACCCAACCUUUUCUUCCAAAGGAUCACCUCUUGCCUGCGUGACUGAGGGCAGCUCUGUUUUACUGUACGGCAGCCUCAAGCAUGAGUGACCUGGAAGAUGGUUGAUCAGCUGUUGGAAACUCAAGGUCAUGGCUUCCUUGAUGGAGUCUGUCUGUCUCACCUUCAGUCGUCCACUUCUCCUGCUACCUCCAACCUUUCCUACCAGGGAUGCUUGCACUGAGAAAGCAAAAUUGAAGGUCAUACUUCAUGGUAUUUUAUUUUAUUUUAUUUUUCUUCUGUCAGCAUCUGUUUUGUGGAUUACCAUUCAUCAGAGCCUGCACAUUUCUAAAAUCCCCUAGUAUGUUUUGUACGGAGGGCUAACCCCUUUUCUGACUUUUCCUGAUCUGCACUUUUAAAACAAUAAAUAUGCUUGUUUGUAAAGUCA